RNAcentral lists this ribosomal RNA (412 nucleotides) under uncultured bacterium. Its description in RNAcentral is "bacterial SSU rRNA". It matches the Rfam family "Bacterial small subunit ribosomal RNA", at positions 505 to 916 of the family's 1533-position model. The record is from RNAcentral.
GUGUCAGCCGCCGCGGUAAUACGGAGGGAGCUAGCGUUGUUCGGAAUCACUGGGCGUAAAGCGUGCGUAGGCGGUGACUCAAGUCAGAGGUGAAAGCCUGGAGCUCAACUCCAGAACUGCCUUUGAAACUAGGUCGCUAGAACAUCGGAGAGGUGAGUGGAAUUCCGAGUGUAGAGGUGAAAUUCGUAGAUAUUCGGAAGAACACCAGUGGCGAAGGCGGCUCACUGGACGAUUGUUGACGCUGAGGCACGAAAGCGUGGGGAGCAAACAGGAUUAGAUACCCUGGUAGUCCACGCCGUAAACGAUGAUAACUAGCUGCCGGGGCACUUGGUGUUUCGGUGGCGCAGCUAACGCAUUAAGUUAUCCGCCUGGGGAGUACGGUCGCAAGAUUAAAACUCAAAUGAAUUGGCGG